This 74-nucleotide transfer RNA is filed under the name Halorientalis sp. IM1011. It matches the Rfam family "tRNA". From Rfam's summary of the family: Transfer RNA (tRNA) molecules are approximately 80 nucleotides in length. Their secondary structure includes four short double-helical elements and three loops (D, anti-codon, and T loops). Further hydrogen bonds mediate the characteristic L-shaped molecular structure. tRNAs have two regions of fundamental functional importance: the anti-codon, which is responsible for specific mRNA codon recognition, and the 3' end, to which the tRNAs corresponding amino acid is attached (by aminoacyl-tRNA synthetases). tRNAs cope with the degeneracy of the genetic code in two manners: having more than one tRNA (with a specific anti-codon) for a particular amino acid; and 'wobble' base-pairing, i.e. permitting non-standard base-pairing at the 3rd anti-codon position. The record is from Rfam by way of RNAcentral. Lineage: Archaea; Methanobacteriati; Methanobacteriota; Halobacteria; Halobacteriales; Haloarculaceae.
GCCGUGGUGGCAGAGUGGCCCAACGCACCUGCCCGCAGAGCAGGUCAACAUCGGUUCGAAUCCGAUCCGCGGCU